CUAUUUCACUGUAACGCUGAUGUUAAAUCGAUACCUGAUUUCAUUUAGCACUCAGCAAGUUUUGUUAUAACACUCACAGUCGCUAUCUUAGGUCUUUAAAAACAAUUGUGGUCGCCAUCUUGGGUCCUCGAAUACUUUCGGUUUCAUUUAACACUCAUUUUGCUUAACGCUUAGUUUUUCAGAAAGCUAUUAAGAGCACUAAGUGGGGGUUGCCUGUCUAUGAUAAAAAGG
Gavialis gangeticus (Gharial) is the source of this 231-nucleotide long non-coding RNA. RefSeq lists it as uncharacterized. The record is from RefSeq and is a predicted model, not a curated record. The transcript has 3 exons. Lineage: Eukaryota; Metazoa; Chordata; Crocodylia; Gavialidae.